AUUGAACGCUGGCGGCAGGCCUAACACAUGCAAGUCGAGCGGAUGAAGGGAGCUUGCUCCUGGAUUCAGCGGCGGACGGGUGAGUAAUGCCUAGGAAUCUGCCUGGUAGUGGGGGAUAACGUCCGGAAACGGGCGCUAAUACCGCAUACGUCCUGAGGGAGAAAGUGGGGGAUCUUCGGACCUCACGCUAUCAGAUGAGCCUAGGUCGGAUUAGCUAGUUGGUGGGGUAAAGGCCUACCAAGGCGACGAUCCGUAACUGGUCUGAGAGGAUGAUCAGUCACACUGGAACCAAGACACGUGACAGACGCCUACAGGACGGAGCAGGGGUGAAUAUAGGGCAAGGGGGGAGAGUCUGAUCCAGCCAUGCCGACUGGGUGAAGAAGGUUUUCGGAUUGAAAAGCAGUGUGCGGUGGGAGGAGGGGAAAGAAGUGAUUCCCUUGCUUUAUUGACGUAACCAAAAGACUAAACCCCAGUCAACUCCAUCACAGCGGCCGAGAAAACAGAACGAACAGCACACGUCUGACC
RNAcentral lists this ribosomal RNA (525 nucleotides) under uncultured bacterium. RNAcentral's name for it is "partial 16S ribosomal RNA". It matches the Rfam family "Bacterial small subunit ribosomal RNA", at positions 35 to 539 of the family's 1533-position model. The record is from RNAcentral.